CUACGGGUUGCUCCAGUGGGGAAUAUUGCACAAUGGGCGAAAGCCUGAUGCAGCAACGCCGCGUGAGGGACGACGGCCUUCGGGUUGUAAACCUCUUUUAGCAGGGAAGAAGCGAAAGUGACGGUACCUGCAGAAAAAGCACCGGCUAACUACGUGCCAGCAGCCGCGGUAAUACGUAGGGUGCAAGCGUUGUCCGGAAUUAUUGGGCGUAAAGAGCUCGUAGGCGGUUUGUCGCGUCUGCUGUGAAAAUCCGAGGCUCAACCUCGGACCUGCAGUGGGUACGGGCAAACUAGAGUGCGGUAGGGGAGAUUGGAAUUCCUGGUGUAGCGGUGGAAUGCGCAGAUAUCAGGAGGAACACCAAUGGCGAAGGCAGAUCUCUGGGCCGUAACUGACGCUGAGGAGCGAAAGCGUGGGGAGCGAACAGGAUUAGAUACCCGGGUAGUC
Molecule: ribosomal RNA, 444 nt
Filed under: uncultured bacterium
Lineage: Bacteria
Description: partial 16S ribosomal RNA
Rfam family: Bacterial small subunit ribosomal RNA
Source: RNAcentral